AUGAAUAUUGAAUGAAUGAUUUAAUGAAUAAUUUUGUUAGAAGUAAACAUAAAGAUUACAUUAACUAAUAGUGGCAAUAAUAAAUAAUAAUCAUAAAUGUGUUAGUACUGAAGCUAUUUGAGAUUUAAUUCAUUGUACUAAAACAUGCAUUGACUUAGACACACUGUACUAAAACAGAGAAAAUAUUGAUGGUUGAGAAAAUAUUCCCAGAGUUCCUUGGUGGCUCUGGGAUCUUACAUUGCCAUUUCUGUGACUCAAGUCAUUGCUGUGGUGCAGGUUUGAUCCCUGUCCUAGGAACUUCUUUAUGCCAUGGGCACAACCAAAAAUAAAAAAUAAAAAUCAACUAAUCCAUCAAUCAAUAUGCUUUACAAUUUAAAAAAAUAAAAGAGAAGAGUUCCUGCCAUUGUGAAGUGGGUUAAGAAUCUGACUGCAGCAGCUCCUUUCACUGUGGAGGCACAAGUUCAAUGCCCAGCCUGGCACAGUGGGUUAAGGGAUCUGGAGUUGCCACAGCUGUGGGGUAGGUUGUGGCUGUGGCUUGGAUUCAAUCCCUGGCCCAGAAACUUCCAUAUGCCGUGGGUGCGGCCAUUAAAAAAAAAAAUUUUGUUUUAUCAGUAAGGUUUGUACCAGAAGCAAAUACAGAAAAUGUUAAACAGUAUCUAUUUGGAUUGUGAAACAAGUUCUCUCCUUUCUUGCAUUAUGAUCUGCAAUUAUAUUUGAAAGUUGAACGUCUGAAAAUUAGCAAUUUUUUUAUAUGUAUGAGAAGCUUCAUACCAAAAGAAAUACAAAUACAAUUAAAUUGCAAAUUAAUAUUACUUGAUAUAAUUAAGUUAACUAAUAUUUAACAUCAGAUAUAGACAACAAAUAAUUUUCUAAGGCAAAUUACCACCUCCAAUUUAACUUCUCAAAAUUUUCUUAGAGUAAUAUUGAGUAAGCAGAAGAAACCAAUAAUGUUGGAACACUGUCAGAUAGUAAUUUCAUAAGAGAGUAAACAAGAAAAUUUGUCAGGGUUCUGAGCAGGAUAGUUCAGUGACCUUAACAUUUAGAGCUACUGUGUGAACUUCUGUGAAUACAGUUUUAAGAAGAAUUUGAACGCUGGCCUUCUCUUUCCAGCUUUCUUUUGCUUAACAUUCAUUGCUGUCUUUCCAUUCUCGUUGCACCUUCUUAGACAUACUUCUCAGCUUCUUCCAUCAGCCUUCCAUUCUAUAAAAGUUCUCUAAAUGGUCAUCAUGGACGGCUGCAUUGCCGCAUUUAUUUGCUUCAUUCAGUCCAGAUAGAUCCUUAGUGAAUGUUCUGUCACUUUGGGUUCCACUGAUCAUCUCCGUCCUUAAACUAUCUCUUUCUCCGCCUGUCCCUGUCCGUCUCUUCUGAAUACAGAUGUGCUCCA
Molecule: long non-coding RNA, 1384 nt
Filed under: Sus scrofa (pig)
Lineage: Eukaryota; Metazoa; Chordata; Mammalia; Artiodactyla; Suidae
Description: lncRNA (ENSSSCG00025057792.1)
Source: RNAcentral